UUGAACGCUGGCGGCAUGCCUAACACAUGCAAGUCGAACGGUAACAGGCCUUCGGGCGCUGACGAGUGGCGGACGGGUGAGUAAUACAUGGGAAUCUGCCUAUCAGCGGGGGAUAACUCGGAGAAAUCCGAGCUAAUACCGCAUACGCCCUACGGGGGAAAGCGGGGGAUCGCAAGACCUCGCACUGAUAGAUGAGCCCAUGUCCUAUCAGCUUGUUGGUGAGGUAACGGCUCACCAAGGCUACGACGGGUAACUGGUCUGAGAGGAUGAUCAGUCACACUGGGACUGAGACACGGCCCAGACUCCUACGGGAGGCAGCAGUGGGGAAUAUUGGACAAUGGGGGCAACCCUGAUCCAGCAAUGCCGCGUGGGUGAAGAAGGCCUUCGGGUUGUAAAGCCCUUUCGGCUGGGAAGAAAAGCUUAUGGUUAAUAACCGUGAGUCUUGACGUUACCAGAAGAAGAAGCACCGGCUAACUCUGU
This 480-nucleotide ribosomal RNA is filed under the name uncultured bacterium. Its description in RNAcentral is "bacterial SSU rRNA". It matches the Rfam family "Bacterial small subunit ribosomal RNA", at positions 30 to 506 of the family's 1533-position model. The record is from RNAcentral.